UUUAAGUGCAGCCAUAAAUUUUUGCGUCCAAUUUUUUAUCAUCGUCUUAUUUGAAGUUUUUUAUAAUUAGUAUUUUUAUUAUUAUGAGAUGACAAAAUAUGAAUAGUACUUUUACGUGACUUAUGUUUUUAAUUUUUUUAAAAAAAUAAAUAAGACGGACAGUCAAAAUUGUGCACGGAAAAUCAUGGCUGCACUUAAA
Oryza glumipatula is the source of this 199-nucleotide non-coding RNA. The record is from Rfam. Lineage: Eukaryota; Viridiplantae; Streptophyta; Magnoliopsida; Poales; Poaceae.